UUAAUACAUUAGAAACUCUAGAGAACUUGAUAUUAUGGGCUACUUUUUUUCUUUUGUGACCUUUAUUGGAAUUGCAUUGCUAGCACUUGCGUUGCCGCGCCUUCCGGCUAAAGAUUGUCCAGGACGAUGUAGGGGCUGGAGGCCAAGUAAAUAAAAGAUAUUACCUAGAGAAUCUAAAUAUAUAUGUUUAAAGAUCAUUGGUGAACAUAUUAAGAUUCAAUGUACUAGGUAUACACUUACCAAAAAAGGACAGAACUGUGCCUAAUGUGUUUAAUAAAAUGUUUACUUGUGGGAAGCGUUUAUGUUUUGAUAUUAAAUUUAUACUAAGUUGAUAAUUAUUUAAUGUGAAGUUUACAUUUGCCGUGCAUAAUCAUAAAUGAGAAAUGUUCCAGCACUAAUUUGUUUGAUCUAUAAAACCCUUGCUUCAAUUGAAAGGCGUUUAAAGAAUUAGAAACUGUAGAGGACGUGAUAUUAUGGGCAACCUUUUUUCAUUUGUGACCUUUAUUGGAAUUGCAAUGCUAUCACUUGCGAUGCCGCAACCUCCAGGUGGUCAAUGUCCAGGAGAUUGCAAGGGCUGGAAACCAAGUUAAUAAAAGCUAUUACCUGGAGAAUCUACAUAUGUAUGUUUAAAGGUCAUUGGUGAACAUAUUAAGAUUCAAUGUACUAGGUAAACUCUUACCAAUAAAGGUUAGAAAUGUGCCUAAUGUA
Drosophila subpulchrella is the source of this 708-nucleotide long non-coding RNA. RefSeq lists it as uncharacterized. Lineage: Eukaryota; Metazoa; Arthropoda; Insecta; Diptera; Drosophilidae. The transcript has 3 exons. The record is from RefSeq and is a predicted model, not a curated record.